Sinocyclocheilus grahami is the source of this 618-nucleotide long non-coding RNA. RefSeq lists it as uncharacterized. The transcript has 4 exons. NCBI's taxonomy places the organism in Eukaryota, Metazoa, Chordata, Actinopteri, Cypriniformes, Cyprinidae. The record is from RefSeq and is a predicted model, not a curated record.
AUGGAUUUUAGAGCGCCAUUUUGAACGCAACGUCCAAACGAAGGGCUAUCACGAUUUGCGUUUGCUUCUUUGGACUCAAAACAGCUUUGAAACUCAUCCUGGACUGGUUCUUUAACAGCACCUGAGGGCGGGAGACAGCAGGUUAUGUGUCCAGGUCUUUCUCGCACACCUUCCUCGACCCCAUCACUCCCACCUGAGAAGUCUUCCAACCCUAGAAACUGCAAACAAUGACAGACCGACAACCUCUGACGUGUUUACGAUUGCAAAGCACUGUCACUUCUAAAUCUGGGUCUGAUGAAAGAGAGGAAUAAGGAGAAGACACAUGCAGCAUGCACCCAUCGUCUGCUAACUGAGCCGCCUUUGACGACUUUCAGGAUCCUGCCACAGAUCCUCGGAUGAAGCCUUCAGUGGAGCUGGCAGCUUAUAUGGCACUUUGCCCGUGCUUGCAUCCCUCUGCCGACUUGUUGCAUUGUCACAUAUUAUGUAUUUAAAUCCCCUUGUGUCGUUCUGUCACAACACUGUCUGGUUCUCAGUGGCUCUGAGGUGACUUUAAUGCAACAGGCGAUGAGACACUCUUCGUGACUUCAAGAGGACCUAACUUAGAUUAAUAUUAGAGAG